This 1305-nucleotide ribosomal RNA is filed under the name Triticum aestivum (bread wheat). RNAcentral describes it as "partial small subunit ribosomal RNA". The record is from RNAcentral. Lineage: Eukaryota; Viridiplantae; Streptophyta; Magnoliopsida; Poales; Poaceae.
AUGGCGAAAACCCUGCUGCUCCUGCUGCUCUGCGCCACGAUCGCCGCACGGGCGCACGCGCAGGCGCCUGCGCGGCCGGCGGAGGAGGAGACGCCGCCUGGGGCGGGCGUGAAGGUGUCGUUCCGGCCGAGCGUGGCCAUCGUGGUGGGCAUCUUCACCAUGAUCUUCUCCCUCACCUUCCUCCUCCUCAUGUACGCCAAGUUCUGCCACCCCGCCAACACGCCACUCCUCCCCGCCACCACCGCCAGCCCGUCCCGCCCACCUGCAACAACGGCAGAGGCCGCGGCGGCCUUGGAGGAGGCGGGCGCCGGCGUGGGCAAGGCGGUGAUCGAGUCGCUGCCCUUCUUCCGGUUCGCGGCGCUGCGCGGGGCGCGGCAGGGGCUGGAGUGCGCCGUGUGCCUGGCCCGCUUCGACGACGCCGACCUGCUCCGCCUGCUCCCGCGCUGCCGCCACGCCUUCCACCUCGACUGCGUCGACCGCUGGCUGCACUCCAGCGCCAGCUGCCCGCUCUGCCGCGCCCGCGUCCACCCCGACGACGCCGACCUCGGCCUCAAGUACGCCGCCGCCAGCGCGCGAUUCGUCUUCGGCGCAGCAGGCGACGACGCUACUGUCGGUGCGGCAGUGCCGUCGUCAGCAGGGUCCGGCCGCGACCUCCUCGCCGGCAUCUUUGUCGAGCGCGUGCCGUCGGCGCGCUUCGGUGAUGAUGAUGCCGGUGCUGCCGAUGAUUCUUGUAACAAGGUGGAGCUGGACCGGCACCGGCACCGCAUCGUGGUGUCUGACAGCGUGUUCAAGAGCCGGUGGAGCGACCUCAACUCGGCGGACCUCAUCGCGCUGGACACCGAGAUGCUGCGCUCCGUCUCCAGCGGCCGCUUCCCCUACCCGUACCCCUACCCCGACGACGACAUUAUCUUCGUGGGAGACGAGCACGACGAGGAGGAGCAACCUCGAAAGCCGGGCCGAGACGAUGACGACGGCGCCCGCAUGUCCAUUGAGAUUGAGAAGAAGCGGCUGCUGGACGUGGAGGUGGGGAGCGGCAGCAAGACAGGGCCCAGCCUGGGAGGGUGCGGCGGGUCGGAGGCGGUGGAGCCAUCGUCGGUGCGCGCGGCGUCGAGGCUGGUGUCGUCGGGCGUGCGGUCCAUGUCGGAGAUCGUGCGGCUGCCUCGGGUGGCGGUAAGGGCGACGGAGGAGGAGGAGAGGGCGCGGCAGCGGUGGGUGCCCAUCGCGCGGCGGACGGCGCGGUGGUUCGCGGCCAGGAGCAGGGAGGAGGACGUCAACGCCGCCGACCGCCUCCGCCUCCGUGUGUAA